This 283-nucleotide long non-coding RNA is filed under the name Lathyrus oleraceus (garden pea). RNAcentral describes it as "Pisum sativum (pea) long non-coding RNA (PSAT_LNC008374)". The record is from RNAcentral. Lineage: Eukaryota; Viridiplantae; Streptophyta; Magnoliopsida; Fabales; Fabaceae.
GAUGUGGUAAUAUUUUAAAUAUAUUCUUCAUUAGUUAAGGGUUUAAGUAUUUUCUUUACAAACCAAACUCUCAUAACCUACUUUUUUCUUGGAUGAGUCAAAUUUUGCUGGGUUAAUGCAUUAGUUAAAGAAUUCUUUGUUUCAUGCGAAUGUUAAAAGAAGAGAUACAUAUAUAGAUACAGAAAAAAAGGAAAGAGAUAAACAAUAAUUUAACGUGAUGAAAGAGAUAUGGAAUCCACAACUAAUUUUUGAAUAAGUUUCUAACUAAUUAUCAUUAAGUAAU